CCCAACUCUAAGAGGAGGCUUGAAUCAGUUACAUCCAAAGAUGUCUUCUAUCCUAUAUCUUGCUGAGAUUUCCAUUAUUUUGAUCAACUUAUCUCAUUAAUGUAGCAAGAGUUCAAUACAAAAUCUCCAACUUUCCUUUCUCCCCAAAAGAGCACUUUUUUAAUUGUGUUGAAUUGGUUCAAGGAAUGGUCUGCUGAGUACUGGAGACAAGAUUUUGGCAGACAAACCAACUAGCCAAGCAUACAACAUUUUUGUUCACUGAGGAGGAGUGGUGCCUUCACCUGAAGACCAUGAAGCCAAAGAUGCACUUCUCUUACACUGUGGAUUCCUGCUAUAUCGUUUUGUUCUGUCUUGCAUGAUUUGACUCUUAGUGUAUUACCUACGCAGAAAGCCACUAAAAA
RNAcentral lists this long non-coding RNA (401 nucleotides) under Numida meleagris (helmeted guineafowl). RNAcentral describes it as "lncRNA (ENSNMEG00000010583.1)". The record is from RNAcentral. Lineage: Eukaryota; Metazoa; Chordata; Aves; Galliformes; Numididae.